AACGCGUGGGCAAUCUACCCUUGAGUUGGGGACAACUCCCCGAAAGGGGGGCUAAUACCGAAUGUGGUCCUCUCGGGCAUCCGAGAGAGACUGAAGGUGGGGAUCCUUCGGGACCUGCCGCUCGAGGAGGAGCCCGCGUACCAUCAGCUUGUUGGUGAGGUAACGGCUCACCAAGGCUUACGGUUAGCUGGUCUGAGAGGAUGGUCAGCCACACUGGGACUGAGACACUGCCCAG
Molecule: ribosomal RNA, 235 nt
Filed under: uncultured bacterium
Lineage: Bacteria
Description: partial 16S ribosomal RNA
Rfam family: Bacterial small subunit ribosomal RNA
Source: RNAcentral